This 1274-nucleotide long non-coding RNA is filed under the name Brassica napus (rape). RNAcentral's name for it is "long non-coding RNA (BNAP_LNC007493)". The record is from RNAcentral. Lineage: Eukaryota; Viridiplantae; Streptophyta; Magnoliopsida; Brassicales; Brassicaceae.
UUAAGAGAAAUAUGUAAAAGGAAAAAAGAGUAACAAUAACUUGAAGAACAAAAUGUACAAAACUGAGAAUAUUUAUGAUUUGUAAUCUAAGAUAUAUUCAAUUUAUUGUCACAAAAAACUUAAUAAGAAAUACAUACUUUGUUUUAAGAACAUUAAAAAUCACGUUGAAUUUUUUAACAUUUUAAGAAAAAUUAUGAAUCAAUAAUAUUAAUAUAAAAUUUUAUCCAAAAAACUCAGCACUAAAUGCAUAAACAAAAAAACAAACAGACCCUAAACCCUAUAAUCCUAAGCAUUAUUAUAAACCAAACCCUAAACCCAACCUAAACCAAACGCUAAACCUUUCCUACUAUCUAAACCCUAAAUCCUACCUAACUCUAAACCCUACAUAAACCUAACCCUAAUCCCUAAACCCUUCCUACUACCUAAACCCUAAACCUAUCUAACCGUAAACCUACCUAACCCUAAACGUAAACCCUACCUAACCCUAAUCCCUAUUUCACCCUGAACCCUACCAAACCCUAAACCCUACCUAACCAUAAAACUCUACCUAAAACCUAACCCUAACCCUAACCCUAAACCCUACCUAAACCCUACCUAACCCUAACACUACUUAACUCUAAACCCUACUAACCCUACCUAACCUAAACCCUACCUAACCCUAAACCCUUUCUAGCCCUAAACCCUACAUAACCCUAAACUAUACUGACCUUAAACCCUACCUAACCCUAAACCCUACCUAACCCUAAACCCUACCUAACCCUAAACCCCUUCAAACCCUCCCUAACCCUAAACCCUACCUAACCCUAAACCAUUUCUAGCCCUAAAUCCUACAAACCCUAAACCCUACUAACCCUAAACCUUUUCUAACCCUAAACCCUGCUAACCCUACCUAAUUCUAAACCCUACCUAACCCUAACCCUAAACCCUAUUAACCCUAAACCCUACCUAACCUAAACACUACCUAACCUAAACCCUACCUAACCCUAAAAAAUUUCUAACCCUAAACCCCUAAACCCUACUAACCCUAAACCCUACCUAACCCUAAAUCCUACCUACCCUAAACCCUACCUAACCCUGAACCCUACCUAACCCUAAACCCUACGUAACCCUAAACCUAACCCUAAACACUACCAACCCUAAACCCUACCUAACCCUAAACCCUACUAACCCUAAACCAUACCUAACCCUAAACCCUACUUACCCUAAACCCUGCCUAACCCUAAACCCUGCCUAACCCUAACCCUUUCUAACCCUAAACCCUACCUAACCUAAAC